This 334-nucleotide ribosomal RNA is filed under the name uncultured eukaryote. Its description in RNAcentral is "partial 18S ribosomal RNA". It matches the Rfam family "Eukaryotic small subunit ribosomal RNA", at positions 1470 to 1796 of the family's 1831-position model. The record is from RNAcentral.
CCCUUAGAUGUCCGGGGCCGCACGCGCGCUACACUGAAGGAAUCAGCGUGGCUUUCUCCCUGACCCGAAAGGGUUGGGAAACCCGUUGAAUCUCCUUCGUGAUAGGGAUUGGGGCUUGAAAUUGUUCCCCAUGAACGAGGAAUUCCCAGUAAGCGCGAGUCAUAAGCUCGCGUUGAUUACGUCCCUGCCCUUGGUACACACCGCCCGUCGCUACUACCGAUUGAACGGUUUAGUGAGGGCCUCGGAUUGGUCUCGGCCCGCUCUUUACCGGGCGGCGCCGUUGGUCGAGAAGACGCUCGAACUUGAUCGUUUAGAGGAAGUAAAAGUCGUAACA